GCGCGAAUCUCGAUGAGGUCCAUCAUGAUUCUACGCGAAACUCAAAGCGUCGUCUCAUGGAGACUUGUUUCUUCUACUUGCGUGCUCGAGUCCUGGUUUCGUUUGGUGGCCGAGCGACAUGACGGAGGAACAACUUGGAGGACAUUUGAAUUCCACGCUGUGAGCCAAGAUGGGAGGACUGGUGUGUGGGUAUCACAUGGGUAUUGGUAACCACUCUUUGCAUCAUUCCCCUGGUGACUCCCAGUGAAAGGCUGCUGACUACCUCUAUCUUUGAGACUAAGUUUUGACUGUUGGAGAAAAGGAAAGCAAAUCUAUCAACUGCGGAACCAAACCUGAUCAUACCGGCAUCUUCUUUUUAUCAUGCAUUUGCAGCUCUGGACUUUCUUUAUCCGUCCAUCGAGGACUGUGACACUGAACAAUGCCGUUUUUCCUUGGGCUGGCUUUGGGUAUAGAUCUCUUCUGUAGGUGGUGAGCAAACAUAAAAGAUGAAGACUCUUCCUGCAAUCAGCAUGUUUGUCAUGUGUUACUGUUGGUCUUCCCAAAUGCUUGGCAACGCACUCGGAUUAAACUUUGACCUUCACAAGAAACUUCUCAUUUUUCAUCAUAUGUGGCAUAUCUAAUGUUAAGGUUCACGAGUGGUCCGCUGCUCAUGGCAUUUACCUUCGUUCUUUGUUGAAUUCAUACGGUGCUUAAC
Molecule: non-coding RNA, 694 nt
Organism: Musa acuminata subsp. malaccensis (wild Malaysian banana)
Lineage: Eukaryota; Viridiplantae; Streptophyta; Magnoliopsida; Zingiberales; Musaceae
Source: RefSeq, a predicted model, not a curated record